AUAAACGCUGGCGGCAUGCCUAAUACAUGCAAGUCGAACGAAGAUUGUAGCAAUACGGUCUUAGUGGCGAAUGGGUGAGUAACGCGUUGGUGACCUGCCCUGAAGUGAGGAAUAACAGUUCGAAAGGAUUGCUAAUACCCCAUGUGGUCAUAGAGAUUAGAUGCUUUAUGUCUAAAGGAGUAAUCCGCUUCAGGAGGGACCUGCGUCCCAUCAGCUAGUUGGUGAGGUAACGGCUCACCAAGGCUACGACGGGUAGGGGGCCUGAGAGGGUGGUCCCCCACACUGGCACUGAAACACGGGCCAGACACCUACGGGUGGCAGCAGUAGGGAAUAUUGCACAAUGGGCGAAAGCCUGAUGCAGCAAUGCCGCGUGCGCGAUGAAGGCCUUCGGGUCGUAAAGCGCUUUUUGAGGAGAUGAGGAAGGACAGUAUCCUCAGAAUAAGGAUCGGCUAACUACGU
RNAcentral lists this ribosomal RNA (459 nucleotides) under uncultured bacterium. RNAcentral's name for it is "bacterial SSU rRNA". It matches the Rfam family "Bacterial small subunit ribosomal RNA", at positions 29 to 506 of the family's 1533-position model. The record is from RNAcentral.